This 445-nucleotide ribosomal RNA is filed under the name uncultured bacterium. Its description in RNAcentral is "partial 16S ribosomal RNA". It matches the Rfam family "Bacterial small subunit ribosomal RNA", at positions 354 to 796 of the family's 1533-position model. The record is from RNAcentral.
GUAGGGAAUAUUGGGCAAUGGAGGCAACUCUGACCCAGCCAUGCCGCGUGCAGGAUGACGGCCCUCUGGGUUGUAAACUGCUUUUAUACGGGAAGAAAAAAUACUACGUGUAGUAUACUGACGGUACCGUAAGAAUAAGGAUCGGCUAACUCCGUGCCAGCAGCCGCGGUAAUACGGAGGAUCCAAGCGUUGUCCGGAUUUAUUGGGUUUAAAGGGUGCGUAGGCGGAUCUUUAAGUCAGUGGUGAAAGCCUGCAGCUUAACUGUAGAAUUGCCAUUGAAACUGAAGAUCUUGAAUGUGGUUAAAGUAGGCGGAAUGUAUCAUGUAGCGGUGAAAUGCUUAGAUAUGAUACAGAACACCGAUAGCGAAGGCAGCUUGUUGAACCAUUAUUGACGCUGAGGCACGAAAGCGUGGGGAGCGAACAGGAUUAGAAACCCUUGUAGUCC